UUAGUACUCCCUCCGCCUCAAAAUUCUUGUCUUAGAUUCGUCUAGAUACGGAUGUAUCUAAUACUAAAACGUUACUUGAUACAUCCGUAUUUAGACAAAUUUAAGAAAAGAAUUUUGAGACGGAGGGAGUACAAG
Non-coding RNA from Triticum urartu, 135 nucleotides. Lineage: Eukaryota; Viridiplantae; Streptophyta; Magnoliopsida; Poales; Poaceae. The record is from Rfam.